UUGAUUAUGGCUCAGGACGAACGCUGGCGGCGUGCCUAACACAUGCAAGUCGAACGGAGAAUUUUAUUUCGGUAGAAUUCUUAGUGGCGAACGGGUGAGUAACGCGUAGGCAACCUGCCCUUUAGACGGGGACAACGUUCCGAAAGGAGUGCUAAUACCGGAUGUGAUCAUCUUGCCGCAUGGCAGGAUGAAGAAAGAUGGCCUCUACAAGUAAGCUAUCGCUAAAGGAUGGGCCUGCGUCUGAUUAGCUAGUUGGUAGUGUAAUGGACUACCAAGGCGAUGAUCAGUAGCCGGUCUGAGAGGAUGAACGGCCACAUUGGGACUGAGACACGGCCCAAACUCCUACGGGAGGCAGCAGUGGGGAAUCUUCCGCAAUGGACGAAAGUCUGACGGAGCAACGCCGCGUGAGUGAUGAAGGAUUUCGGUCUGUAAAGCUCUGUUGUUUAUGACGAACGUGCAGUGUGUGAACAAUGCAUUGCAAUGACGGUAGUAAACGAGGAAGCCACGGCUAACUACGUGCCAGCAGCCGCGGUAAUACGUAGGUGGCGAGCGUUGUCCGGAAUUAUUGGGCGUAAAGAGCAUGUAGGCGGCUUAAUAAGUCGAGCGUGAAAAUGCGGGGCUCAACCCCGUAUGGCGCUGGAAACUGUUAGGCUUGAGUGCAGGAGAGGAAAGGGGAAUUCCCAGUGUAGCGGUGAAAUGCGUAGAUAUUGGGAGGAACACCAGUGGCGAAGGCGCCUUUCUGGACUGUGUCUGACGCUGAGAUGCGAAAGCCAGGGUAGCGAACGGGAUUAGAUACCCCGGUAGUCCUGGCCGUAAACGAUGGGUACUAGGUGUAGGAGGUAUCGACCCCUUCUGUGCCGGAG
Molecule: ribosomal RNA, 863 nt
Filed under: uncultured Bacillota bacterium
Lineage: Bacteria; Bacillati; Bacillota
Description: bacterial SSU rRNA
Rfam family: Bacterial small subunit ribosomal RNA
Source: RNAcentral